GGUCGAUACCGUCGAUGAACUCAACGCCAACGCCUCCAACGCGCUGCUCAAAAUUCUCGAAGAGCCGCCGGCGCGGUCACUGUUUCUGCUCAUCAGUCACGNUCCUGCGCGUGUGCUCGCCACCAUUCAGUCCCGUUGCCGGAAACUCCCACUGCGGCCUCUGGCGACGGAGGAUGUGAUCCAGGCAGCCGCGGAAGCAGCCGGAUUGAAANAGCGAUCAUGCGCUGGGGGAGGCGGCAGACGCGGCGGAGGGGAGCGUGGCCCGCGCACUCACCUUGCUUGGCGGGCAAUCGCUCGGGCUCCACCAGCGUACGCUCGAAC
This 321-nucleotide unclassified non-coding RNA is filed under the name Hevea brasiliensis (rubber tree). The record is from RNAcentral. Lineage: Eukaryota; Viridiplantae; Streptophyta; Magnoliopsida; Malpighiales; Euphorbiaceae.